UUAUUUCUUAGUUAUUUAAUAUAUAAUUAUUAUUUUAUUAUUUUAUAAUAUGCAAAAAAAUAUAAAAUAAGUAUUUAUUCUGCACAAAGCGCAAAUCUUAACCUAAGUGUAUGUAUCUCUUUAGUAAUUUUGAAUCUUAAACAUUUUUUAAAUAUCAUGCCAAAAUAAAAGAAAUAAAUGAGAAUAAACUCAAAAAUCAAUAUUUAUAUCGAGCAAUAACC
Molecule: long non-coding RNA, 221 nt
Filed under: Brassica rapa (field mustard)
Lineage: Eukaryota; Viridiplantae; Streptophyta; Magnoliopsida; Brassicales; Brassicaceae
Description: long non-coding RNA (BRAP_LNC004474)
Source: RNAcentral